AUACGAAGGGGGCUAGCGUUGUUCGGAAUUACUGGGCGUAAAGCGCGCGUAGGCGGACUGAUCAGUGGGGGGUGAAAUCCCAGGGCUUAACCCUGGAACUGCCUUCAAUACUGUCAGUCUUGAGAUUGGAAGAGGUGAGUGGAAUUCCUAGUGAAGAGGUGAAAUUCAUAGAUAUUAGGAGGAACACCAGUGGCGAAGGCGGCUCACUGGUCCAAUACUGACGCUGAGGUACGAAAGCGUGGGGAGCAAACAGGAUUAGAAACCCUAGUAGUCC
RNAcentral lists this ribosomal RNA (274 nucleotides) under uncultured bacterium. RNAcentral describes it as "partial 16S ribosomal RNA". It matches the Rfam family "Bacterial small subunit ribosomal RNA", at positions 523 to 796 of the family's 1533-position model. The record is from RNAcentral.